GCCUGACUGGCUCAGUCAGUAGAGCAUGCGAUUCUUGAUCUCAGGGUUGUGAGUUUGAGCCCCACAUCGGGUG
Molecule: transfer RNA, 73 nt
Filed under: Ailuropoda melanoleuca (giant panda)
Lineage: Eukaryota; Metazoa; Chordata; Mammalia; Carnivora; Ursidae
Rfam family: tRNA
About the family: Transfer RNA (tRNA) molecules are approximately 80 nucleotides in length. Their secondary structure includes four short double-helical elements and three loops (D, anti-codon, and T loops).
Source: Rfam by way of RNAcentral